GAUGAACGCUGGCGGCGCGCCUAACACAUGCAAGUCGAACGGCACCCCUCUCCGGAGGGAAGCGAGUGGCGAACGGCUGAGUAACACGUGGAGAACCUGCCCCCUCCCCCGGGAUAGCCGCCCGAAAGGACGGGUAAUACCGGAUACCCCCGGGCGCCGCAUGGCGCCCGGGCUAAAGCCCCGACGGGAGGGGAUGGCUCCGCGGCCCAUCAGGUAGACGGCGGGGUGACGGCCCACCGUGCCGA
This 245-nucleotide ribosomal RNA is filed under the name uncultured Actinomycetes bacterium. Its description in RNAcentral is "uncultured actinobacterium partial 16S ribosomal RNA". It matches the Rfam family "Bacterial small subunit ribosomal RNA", at positions 28 to 276 of the family's 1533-position model. The record is from RNAcentral. Lineage: Bacteria; Bacillati; Actinomycetota; Actinomycetes.